CGAGCUCCGGUUCACGUCUGCGCAGUCGCGCCGACGACCCGGCGGCC
Molecule: non-coding RNA, 47 nt
Filed under: unclassified sequences
Description: L31-Actinobacteria ribosomal protein leader
Rfam family: L31-Actinobacteria ribosomal protein leader
Source: RNAcentral